This is a small nuclear RNA of Octodon degus (degu), 107 nucleotides long. The record is from Ensembl. NCBI's taxonomy places the organism in Eukaryota, Metazoa, Chordata, Mammalia, Rodentia, Octodontidae.
GUACUCGCUUUGGCAGCACAUAUACUAAAAUUGGAACAAUACAGAGAAGAUUAGCACAGCCCCCAUGCAAGGACGACACCCAAGUUCAUGAAGCAUUCCAUAUUUUU